RNAcentral lists this ribosomal RNA (253 nucleotides) under uncultured bacterium. RNAcentral describes it as "partial 16S ribosomal RNA". It matches the Rfam family "Bacterial small subunit ribosomal RNA", at positions 524 to 776 of the family's 1533-position model. The record is from RNAcentral.
UACGUAGGGGGCAAGCGUUGUCCGGAAUUAUUGGGCGUAAAGAGCGUGUAGGCGGUCCGGUAAGUCAGCUGUGAAAGUCAAGGGCUCAACCCUUGAAAGCCGGUUGAUACUGUCGGGCUAGAGUCCGGAAGAGGCGAGUGGAAUUCCCGGUGUAGCGGUGAAAUGCGCAGAUAUCGGGAGAAACACCGGUGGCGAAGGCGGCAUCCUGGACCGGCAUUGACGCUGAGGCGCGAAAGCCAGGGGAGCAAACGGG